This 69-nucleotide ribosomal RNA is filed under the name Onchocerca gutturosa. RNAcentral describes it as "partial 28S ribosomal RNA". It matches the Rfam family "Eukaryotic large subunit ribosomal RNA", at positions 1 to 68 of the family's 3401-position model. Lineage: Eukaryota; Metazoa; Nematoda; Chromadorea; Rhabditida; Onchocercidae. The record is from RNAcentral.
UGACCUCAACUCAGUCGUGAUUACCCGCUGAAAUUUAAGCAUAUAACUAAGCGGAGGAAAAGAAACUAA